This 1323-nucleotide ribosomal RNA is filed under the name uncultured bacterium. RNAcentral's name for it is "bacterial SSU rRNA". It matches the Rfam family "Bacterial small subunit ribosomal RNA", at positions 42 to 1388 of the family's 1533-position model. The record is from RNAcentral.
GCGCGCCUAACACAUGCAAGUCGAACGAGAGAUGAAGAGCUUGCUCUUCAAAUCGAGUGGCGAACGGGUGAGUAACGCGUGAGGAACCUGCCUCAAAGAGGGGGACAACAGUUGGAAACGACUGCUAAUACCGCAUAAGCCCACGGCUCGGCAUCGAGCAGAGGGAAAAGGAGUGAUCCGCUUUGAGAUGGCCUCGCGUCCGAUUAGCUAGUUGGUGAGGUAACGGCCCACCAAGGCGACGAUCGGUAGCCGGACUGAGAGGUUGAACGGCCACAUUGGGACUGAGACACGGCCCAGACUCCUACGGGAGGCAGCAGUGGGGAAUAUUGCACAAUGGGGGAAACCCUGAUGCAGCGACGCCGCGUGGAGGAAGAAGGUCUUCGGAUUGUAAACUCCUGUUGUUGAGGAAGAUAAUGACGGUACUCAACAAGGAAGUGACGGCUAACUACGUGCCAGCAGCCGCGGUAAAACGUAGGUCACAAGCGUUGUCCGGAAUUACUGGGUGUAAAGGGAGCGCAGGCGGGAGAACAAGUUGGAAGUGAAAUCCAUGGGCUCAACCCAUGAACUGCUUUCAAAACUGUUUUUCUUGAGUAGUGCAGAGGUAGGCGGAAUUCCCGGUGUAGCGGUGGAAUGCGUAGAUAUCGGGAGGAACACCAGUGGCGAAGGCGGCCUACUGGGCACCAACUGACGCUGAGGCUCGAAAGUGUGGGUAGCAAACAGGAUUAGAUACCCUGGUAGUCCACACCGUAAACGAUGAUUACUAGGUGUUGGAGGAUUGACCCCUUCAGUGCCGCAGUAACACAAUAAGUAUCCACCUGGGGAGUACGACCGCAAGGUUGAAACUCAAAGGAAUUGACGGGGGCCCGCACAAGCAGUGGAGUAUGUGGUUUAAUUCGACGCAACGCGAAGAACCUUACCAAGUCUUGACAUCCCUUGACGAACAUAGAAAUAUGUUUUCUCUUCGGAGCAAGGAGACAGGUGGUGCAUGGUUGUCGUCAGCUCGUGUCGUGAGAUGUUGGGUUAAGUCCCGCAACGAGCGCAACCCUUAUGGUCAGUUACUACGCAAGAGGACUCUGGCCAGACUGCCGUUGACAAAACGGAGGAAGGUGGGGAUGACGUCAAAUCAUCAUGCCCUUUAUGACUUGGGCUACACACGUACUACAAUGGCGUUAAACAAAGAGAAGCAAGACCGCGAGGUGGAGCAAAACUCAGAAACAACGUCCCAGUUCGGACUGCAGGCUGCAACUCGCCUGCACGAAGUCGGAAUUGCUAGUAAUCGUGGAUCAGCAUGCCACGGUGAAUACGUUCCCGGGCCUUGUACAC